RNAcentral lists this ribosomal RNA (328 nucleotides) under uncultured eukaryote. Its description in RNAcentral is "partial 18S ribosomal RNA". It matches the Rfam family "Eukaryotic small subunit ribosomal RNA", at positions 1470 to 1796 of the family's 1831-position model. The record is from RNAcentral.
CCCUUAGAUGUUCUGGGCCGCACGCGCGCUACACUGACUGACUCAACGAGUUUACAACCUGUGCCGAAAGGUAUGGGUAAUCUUUUGAAAUUCAGUCGUGAUGGGGCUAGAUUAUUGCAACUAUUAAUCUUCAACGAGGAAUGCCUAGUAAGCGCGAAUCAUCAGUUCGCGUUGAUUACGUCCCUGCCCUUUGUACACACCGCCCGUCGCUCCUACCGAUUGGAUGGUCCGGUGAAGCCUCGGGAUUGUGGUUCUUGCCGCUUUAUUGUGGCGUGACUGCGAGAACUUGUCUAAACCUUAUCAUCUAGAGGAAGGUGAAGUCGUAACA